GCACGACACCAGAUUUACACAAAUCGAGUUUCCAGCAGCUUCAGGAGGGUCAGUUGUGAGUUAUUCAACAGAAAUGUCUCACAUCCUUCUUCUUCUUCUUCUUCUGACUUUUGAGACUGUGGAAUUAGAAGAGAUAAAAGUGAGGCCUAGACAAGAUGUCACUCUUCACUGUCAGGAUCCCAGUGGUGUAAAUAUCACUCUGUUAGAGUGGAGCAUACCUGAGAUUAAGUCAGACGGAUACGUCUUCUUCUACCGAAACGGGCGCUCAUAUGAAAGCUACCAGCAUGAGCGUUUUAAAGGCCGAGUGGAGCUGAAACACCCGUCUAUGAAAAACGGAGACGUUUCUGUGAUUCUCAAGAACGUCAACGUCAACGAUACAGGAACAUAUGAGUGUCGGAUUAUAACCAGUGAUCUCAGCAGCGGUCAGAGAGUUCAGAGUGAGUCCAGGCGGUCCAUCGACCUCACAGUCAUAGACUCUGGAGAUCCGACUGUAGAACACAAGGACAAGCAUGAUUUAAUUAUCAUUAUUGUUGCAGUUAGCUUGAUUUUACCGUGAGAACAGCAGGUGAGCGUGGUGGAGCUUUUAGCAGGUAGAGAGGUGGAGGAGACAGACGUAGAGUAGAUCAGUUUAUGUAAGCUCUGAUUAGACGGGGCAUUAAAAUGGGGCCACAGUAGCACGGUUAGCAAGUUCUCUCAGUGAGUUAAGCACUUUAUUAACUUUAAGUUUUUAUUUUGCACUUUUAAACACUUGAUUUAUUUCUGUUUGUGGCAACUGCAGCCAAUCAGCCACCUUCCUGCUUUCUGUCCAUCGCCCCCAUUAGAAAUAAUGACUCAAUGUAAUCUAAUAUGUGAUUAUAGUAUACCCAUGAUAUUUAUUUAAAAAACAUACAAACCAUUAUCAUAAUGGUUUUAUUGUGUUAUUAUGUGAGUUGUGGAAAGUUCUGAGUUGGAUCUGUAAAUAUCAGAAACCUUAUCAGUGAUUUAAACUGAGCUGAUCUCACAUUCAGAUCUCCACCUCGGGCGUGGCUGUUUUUAGACUUCUGUCAUGACGUCUUCUUCUUGUUCCUCUGUGCAAAAUACACAGUUGAUCUUUCAGCGUUUUUCAUUUUCAGGACUUCACAUGAGCAUUAAUCUGGUGAAUAGAGAGGAUUUUCAAUCUGAAGACGUUUUAACACAAUCUGUUUCCUGUUCUGAUGCCUCAGGAUCUCGUCCUUUCUCCUGAUCUGCAUCCUCGCCUAUUGUGCUGCCUUAAGGCGUUGAAACUCAUCAGAAAACUGCUCAGUCGUGAAGUUCAGGUUGGUUUAAAAUCUAAUUUGUUUGUCGUUUGUACGUUUGAGGUCUGUGGUGAGGCUGCAGAG
Molecule: long non-coding RNA, 1358 nt
Organism: Astatotilapia calliptera (eastern happy)
Lineage: Eukaryota; Metazoa; Chordata; Actinopteri; Cichliformes; Cichlidae
Source: Ensembl